UUUUGGUAGCCUUUUGACAUGAAAAGUGGCACAUAAAAAUAGAGCAAUAAAUCGGAAGCAAAACACCGCCGACUGCUUUAUCAGCGUUUCUCGAGCGGGGAGUUUUUUGGUGGACCCGCGCACUAAACAGGCGCAUGUGUCAAAAUAGUGCCACUGUGACAGCUGACGAGAUGAAGAACACCUAAGUAGGCAUCGACAUCAGGCAGCAGUGCUGAAGUUAGGGGUGCCAGAUAAUGGGACAAUGAACGAGAGAGAAGAUCUACAGUACCAUUGCAAAAGGAAAGGAAUUGAAUCAUUCCACAAAGGCUACUGAUACUGUGUGCCGGUUCUUGGGCAAGUAAAAGUGCACGAAAAAAAAGGACACCCAUUAGCAACCCCAAGCCCCAGGGACACAAUCAAUCGCUGGCAUCCCCUGAAGACCUCGGACGAUGGUUGUUGCCGGCGACCCGUACCCCAGGGUGCGAAGGUAAUGAUAACGGUGGCUGCAACGCCAUUCGGACCAGUCUACCGGAACAGUAUAACUUAUCCGGUUCGGGGCUUUGCCAACGAUCACCCUUCCUGCCUUCGAUGCACUACAUCCGAUGGCAACAUCCCUUUCGCCUUGGCAAGGGUGUCAAACACGUGCCCGUCAUCGUGCAUUUCAAAGGUAGGUAACACGUUUGCCUAUCAUAAAACCUUUCCAUGUUAUUUAUUUGGAUUUUUGAAUUUUGAAAUUAAAUGAAAAUAAAAACCAAAUUAAAAAAAAGUCAAAUAAAUCGAUUGUUUGACAACGAUGCACUCUUCGCCAUGAAAAGACGAGAGAGCCCCAUAAAAAAAACGCGCGUGAGUAAAGUCCCGUUCCGCUCAUUUCGUCAG
Molecule: long non-coding RNA, 855 nt
Organism: Anopheles merus
Lineage: Eukaryota; Metazoa; Arthropoda; Insecta; Diptera; Culicidae
Exons: 3
Source: RefSeq, a predicted model, not a curated record